RNAcentral lists this ribosomal RNA (114 nucleotides) under Enterobacter hormaechei. The record is from RNAcentral. Lineage: Bacteria; Pseudomonadati; Pseudomonadota; Gammaproteobacteria; Enterobacterales; Enterobacteriaceae. RNAcentral also lists the same sequence under 1 other name.
CCUGGCGGCUGUAGCGCGGUGGUCCCACCUGACCCCAUGCCGAACUCAGAAGUGAAACGCCGUAGCGCCGAUGGUAGUGUGGGGUCUCCCCAUGUGAGAGUAGGGAACUGCCAG